AUGUGAAGACUCCUUUGGUUGGUUCCUCCCCCAACCGUUUGCCCCGAAAGCCUUGGUCUUCGGGGCUUUUUUAUGCGCCGC
RNAcentral lists this small RNA (81 nucleotides) under Pseudomonas sp. 2848. RNAcentral's name for it is "suhB". The record is from RNAcentral. Lineage: Bacteria; Pseudomonadati; Pseudomonadota; Gammaproteobacteria; Pseudomonadales; Pseudomonadaceae.